Oryzias latipes (Japanese medaka) is the source of this 551-nucleotide non-coding RNA. The record is from RefSeq and is a predicted model, not a curated record. Lineage: Eukaryota; Metazoa; Chordata; Actinopteri; Beloniformes; Adrianichthyidae.
GAAAGCAAGAACUUGAUUCUGCAUUGGUGGAUAUGAUUGUAAUGGAUGCACAACCAUUUUCAAUUGUUGAAGACAAAGGCUUCAAGGCUUUUGUCAACCUUUUGGACCCAUCCUACAUAAUUCCUAAUAGGAAGGCCUUGAGGACAAUGGUGAAGGAGAAGUACAAAGCUAAAAAGGAGAACGUCGGUGACCAGCACAAGUGCCAGUGCAACAGUGGAGGUUCAGAGGUACAGUAAAGAUUAGAAUCCUCAUCAUAACUUCUGCUCAUUUUAGACUGGUGCAUGACAAUAGGCUAUUAAUGUCCUUCUAGGUACUUAAAAGAACCUCACAUCCCAAGGACUCAGGACCCACUGAGAUACUGGGUUACCCACAGGGUUUUAUACCCACAUCUCUACAAGCUGGCAAUGAAGUUUUUAUGCACACCAGCUUCAUCUGUGCCUUGUGAGAGGAUCUUCUCCAAGGCUGGCGAAAUCGUCAGCCAAAGACGAAACAGGCUGAAGCCCAGCACAGUGGAGAAAAUUCUGUUUUUAAAUAAAAAUCUAUAACAUGUA